This is a long non-coding RNA of Apteryx owenii (little spotted kiwi), 936 nucleotides long. The record is from Ensembl. Lineage: Eukaryota; Metazoa; Chordata; Aves; Apterygiformes; Apterygidae.
CUGCGCCCGGCUCAGCCCGGCCCGCCCCGCCCCGGGCGCCGCCACCGACACCGCGACACGACGAAAGCCCCGCCCCCCGCGCAGGCGCACCACCCGCUCCACCGGCGUUUCCUACUCCCGCCCCCGCUCCGCGACUAUUGGCUCCUCGCGCCGCAGCCCCCGCCGCAGUGGUGGCUGCGCACGCUAAUCACCGCCUAGCCCCGUCCCGCGAGCAGAGCCGCUUUCAGCUUUUCGAGUCGCCCAGUUCCGCCGGCCUCUCCUGUUUCCCACGGAUGGGACCUUCCGAAGGGCGCCGAAUGGGGCUCUGGAAGGGACCACUGGGAAAGCGGGGGGGGGGCCCGAGCGGAGCGCCGCGCGGCUUCCCUUGGCUCGAGUACAAUAGCGGGGCUGCGGGGCGCCUACAGAUCCCAGGCUGCGGGGCUGCGGCCGGCGCCGCGCGGCAUGCCGGGACCUGUAGUCGCGGCGGGGCGGCGGCGCCCGCUCGGGCCCCCGGCCGGGAAGGCAGGGCGCCGGGGCGGGUUUUGCGUUGUUGCCCUCUUACCGAGGGUGCCGCUGAAAGGGCCGGCGGGAGGCCUCGAGCUGCGGAAGGAGGCCGAGGCGGGACGCAGGGCUCCCGGAGGCCGAGCGGGCGGCGCCGCUGCGCUGAUGUUCAUGGAGGCUAAUGUACGGAGGACAGAAGGACACAUCAAGGAACUGGGAGAGAGAUCCAGUGCUGUGCUGAGGAAGGAGGACAGACAAUUUUCCUGUUCAAAGAUAGCUUCUUAUGUCCCCACAAGAUGCAGAAAUGUCUUUACCACUGAAGACAGUACAAUUUGGGAUAAGGACCCAGCAUAUGAAAGAACUAGCACAUGGAGUGUAAUUGCCAGGAAGCUGUUCAACAGCUCAAGGAGGAACGCCGAUAUCAGUGGGAUAUGUGAUUCCAACUGCUGGAAAUAA